CUGUCGAAAUUCACAGAAACUCGUUACGGAAAUUGCCCUGCUAUGAAGAAAUUUGUAGCUUUGCAUCGGGUGAAUUCAUGGAAAACCUAAGUCUUAUCAAGGAUAUGGCAACCAUGAGCCAAGCCGAAGGAAGUCGAUAAAAGUACUUCGGAAGGUGCAACGCAUAGAUGGUGAGGACGACUACCAAUAAACCAUCCACGAGCGCCCGACACCCUGAACCAGAGGGUGAUGAGAUAUGCUGAACUGCAAGGAAACUUGCAG
Brevibacillus brevis NBRC 100599 is the source of this 261-nucleotide non-coding RNA. Lineage: Bacteria; Bacillati; Bacillota; Bacilli; Caryophanales; Paenibacillaceae. The record is from Rfam.